GAUGAACGCUGGCGGCGUGCCUAAUACAUGCUAGUCGAGCGAACGGACGAGAAGCUUGCUUCUCUGAUGUUAGCGGCGGACGGGUGAGUAACACGUGGAUAACCUACCUAUAAGACUGGGAUAACUUCGGGAAACCGGAGCUAAUACCGGAUAAUAUUUUGAACCGCAUGGUUCAAAAGUGAAAGACGGUCUUGCUGUCACUUAUAGAUGGAUCCGCGCUGCAUUAGCUAGUUGGUAAGGUAACGGCUUACCAAGGCAACGAUGCAUAGCCGACCUGAGAGGGUGAUCGGCCACACUGGAACUGAGACACGGUCCAGACUCCUACGGGAGGCAGCAGUAGGGAAUCUUCCGCAAUGGGCGAAAGCCUGACGGAGCAACGCCGCGUGAGUGAUGAAGGUCUUCGGAUUGUAAAACUCUGUUAUUAGGGAAGAACAUAUGUGUAAGUAACUGUGCACAUCUUGACGGUACCUAAUCAGAAAGCCACGGCUAACUACGUGCCAGCAGCCGCGGUAAUACGUAGGUGGCAAGCGUUAUCCGGAAUUAUUGGGCGUAAAGCGCGCGUAGGCGGUUUUUUAAGUCUGAUGUGAAAGCCCACGGCUCAACCGUGGAGGGUCAUUGGAAACUGGAAAACUUGAGUGCAGAAGAGGAAAGUGGAAUUCCAUGUGUAGCGGUGAAAUGCGCAGAGAUAUGGAGGAACACCAGUGGCGAAGGCGGCUUUCUGGUCUGUAACUGACGCUGAUGUGCGAAAGCGUGGGGAUCAAACAGGAUUAGAUACCCUGGUAGUCCACGCCGUAAACGAUGAGUGCUAAGUGUUAGGGGGUUUCCGCCCCUUAGUGCUGCAGCUAACGCAUUAAGCACUCCGCCUGGGGAGUACGACCGCAAGGUUGAAACUCAAAGGAAUUGACGGGGACCCGCACAAGCGGUGGAGCAUGUGGUUUAAUUCGAAGCAACGCGAAGAACCUUACCAAAUCUUGACAUCCUUUGACAACUCUAGAGAUAGAGCUUUCCCCUUCGGGGGACAAAGUGACAGGUGGUGCAUGGUUGUCGUCAGCUCGUGUCGUGAGAUGUUGGGUUAAGUCCCGCAACGAGCGCAACCCUUAAGCUUAGUUGCCAUCAUUAAGUUGGGCACUCUAAGUUGACUGCCGGUGACAAACCGGAGGAAGGUGGGGAUGACGUCAAAUCAUCAUGCCCCUUAUGAUUUGGGCUACACACGUGCUACAAUGGACAAUACAAAGGGCAGCGAAACCGUGAGGUCAAGCAAAUCCCAUAAAGUUGUUCUCAGUUCGGAUUGUAGUCUGCAACUCGACUACAUGAAGCUGGAAUCGCUAGUAAUCGUAGAUCAGCAUGCUACGGUGAAUACGUUCCCGGGUCU
RNAcentral lists this ribosomal RNA (1372 nucleotides) under uncultured bacterium. RNAcentral's name for it is "bacterial SSU rRNA". It matches the Rfam family "Bacterial small subunit ribosomal RNA", at positions 28 to 1381 of the family's 1533-position model. The record is from RNAcentral.